AACUUUCGGCAACGGAUCACUUGGCUCUUGCAUCGAUGAAGAACGCAGUAAUGUGCGAAAAGUAAUGCAAAUUGCAUACCUCUGCGAGUCAUCUAGUCUUUGAACGCAAAUGGCACUGUCACGACGAGUGAUAGUAUGUCUGUUUGAGAACCACAAAACACCUCACCACAAUAUAUGUGAGUGGAACAUGUCCUCUUGCACACUUUUGUGUAAUUGGAUUGAACAUAGGAUGCUGCGUGGAUCACACGCGGAAUAUGUGAUAGUCAUUUUCAUAUUCCGAGUGAUCUGAUAACGUGCACUUUUAGCGAAUGGUUUGUGGUGGUAUAGUAUAUUACAAUACAAUACCAUCAUAUAUCAUUAGCAACUUUUAAUCGUUGGUCUAAAAUUAGACAAGGUUACCCGCUGAACUUAAGCAUAUCAAUAAGCGGAGGCU
RNAcentral lists this unclassified non-coding RNA (433 nucleotides) under uncultured Agaricomycetes. Its description in RNAcentral is "sequence contains ITS2". The stretch from base 1 to 153 matches the Rfam family "5.8S ribosomal RNA". The record is from RNAcentral. Lineage: Eukaryota; Fungi; Basidiomycota; Agaricomycetes.